ACAAGGUCUUUGGUUCUCCUUCUGGAGUCAAGCCAUUUGUAAUGGGGAGUACCGAUCCUGAAAUCAUCAGAGAAGUGGAAGAGAUUCUUGACCAAUACCUACUACGGAAGAAGCAGAUAACUAUAUCAAAUGUAGAAUCUGUCCUGCUUGGUUCUAAUGAGGAAGUUGUUUUCAUCAGGAGCGUCUUACUGUUAUUCAUCACCACAGUUCUUUGCCCUUCUACUUACAAUUUUGUAAACCCGAAAUAUAUAUAUGUACUCCCCCGAGGGACAGUGACAUCAUUGAAGUUGGCAAUCUUGACCUUGGAACAUUGUGCCUCAGCCACCUGUGGAACGAGGUUGAUGCUUGGAAAUCUAAGGUUUUUAAAGAUGAAAGCGAUUUCAACAUGAUGCUAUGGAUUAGAGGUUCCUUACCUUUGUUGGCAGUUGUGUACAUGGACUUCUUGGAUUUUGUGCCAAUGUUGGGAAAAUUUAUUAUAGCCCGCCAAGAAUGUCACAUAUAACGAAUGAUGAUUUUUCCCUUGUUCAUAGCUCAGACUGUAACAUGUUGUCAUGGAAAUCAUAUGGUGUCCUUCCACUCAAGGACAUUUCUAUCACUCUAUACAGUGUAGGCCUAGCAAUUGUACCUGCUCUGGAAGCCAAUGCUGGUAAUGAUGUUGUCGAUAUCCCAGCAUUAGCACAUGUACCACCUCUAGAUGAAGCAUUUGUUCAUAAUGUUAUUGAAGAUGAAUCGAUGGAAGAUAUUGGCAAUCAUCAGGAAAUUAUUGGCAUCAGUGAUUCACAAGUGGACUUUGAUAGGAUUGGAUCUUAUAUGAUUGCCAGAAGCCAUGUCUCGUUCUCCGCUUGCAUCCGUUCAUUCUGUUGAGAGCAGGCAUGUACAUGCUGCCCUAGGAUUUUUCAAGUCUGACAAGUAUGGGUUGACCAAAGAACUUUGACUCUAUCAAUGAACAAAGGUGGUUGGAUUCAUCUAUGCCUAAUGGACUGUUUUGGAAUGUUAACUACAACUGACCAGAUUCAUCGGAGAAAAGAAGGGAAAUUUGGCUAGAAUGAAAUUUUAAUUCAUGUAGUUAUAAAAGAAGUCACGAAAUUGCUAAUGGAUCCAAUGUUGAAUUGUUUUUAUCCUGAGUACAAAAGGAUUUUUUGCCUUGACUAUGUUGCCUUCCGAUUGGAAAAUGCAGGACUGGUGCACAUUCCUUGCCCAGUAGAUAAACAAUGGAUACUGAUUGUUGCCAAUUUCAUUGACAAGUCAUUCGACGUACUCAAUCCAGACAACUCAAUUGAAAAAUUCUCAUCAGUAGUAAACACUGUAAUAUUCAACUUCAAGCAAUUGUUUGUGCAAAGUUAUCCUGGUUGUUUCAAAUUCAGCAUACGGGAUUUCAGUGUCAAAUAUGUUCACGUGCCUAAACACAAUUUCAGUACAUUAGAUGGUAUAACGGAGUUGAAGUAAAAUUGUUCUCAAAUGUUGACGUUCAAGCUAUUCGCGAGAAAGUUACAACCCAGUUGGUGAUAAACAUCCAUAACGAGCUACAGGUGCCAUUAGCUAGACAGUUCAUUGCGAAACAUGUUCCACACCUUCUUCAUUAAAUAAAAAGGUUACAUCAUCUGGUAUGUCGAAAAGACCUGAUAAAAUAUCAAAUUUGAUGAAGCAGUUGGAAGUUUGCACAUUCAAGACAGCUUUUUAGUGUAUAUCAGGACCCAUCUAAAUUCUACUAGACUUGUAAUUUAUUCAUUUCUUUGUGAUUUAAAUUUUUCAUCGAAUGCAAAUUCACAGAAAAGUGGAGCUAGCUAUCAGUCCAUUCCACUGAACAAUUCAUAUUUUCUAAGAACUUUCUACUUUGAUUCAA
This is an RNA transcript of Lolium perenne, 1843 nucleotides long. RefSeq lists it as uncharacterized. The record is from RefSeq and is a predicted model, not a curated record. Lineage: Eukaryota; Viridiplantae; Streptophyta; Magnoliopsida; Poales; Poaceae.